Long non-coding RNA from Micropterus dolomieu (smallmouth bass), 502 nucleotides. RefSeq lists it as uncharacterized. NCBI's taxonomy places the organism in Eukaryota, Metazoa, Chordata, Actinopteri, Centrarchiformes, Centrarchidae. The record is from RefSeq and is a predicted model, not a curated record. The transcript is spliced from 2 exons.
UUCAGUGUUACCAGUUGCAAAUAAACUGCCUGGUAGGCGCAUGGGACAGCUGCAACCCUGCAUCCUGUUGCCUAGGGCACCACACAGCCCUGUGCACAAAGGCGACCGCCACACACGGCAGCGAGGCUCCCUUGUUCUCAACACGUCCUGAAAGGAUGCUCCUAAGAUAGUGUUGCCAGGCAACAAACCCAAUUCCAGCCAGCGAACAGAGUUCUGACUGAAAAUGUAUUCAGAGCAACAAAAUAUGAGCAAAAAAAAAAAACCAAGAGAGGAAGAGCUACCUGGUAGCAUAAAUCGUCACCGGCUUGCGGCGCAUCUGCUGCCAUGAAAACUGAUGAGGUUGGAAAGAUCCAGAAAAAAACCCCACAAUCCCGGCUCAAUGCUGCGAUUUCUGUCAGCCAUCGCCGAUGGACGAUCGGCCCAGUCCUACUGUAAAAUGUCCAGCUCAGUAUGCUUCUUGGUCACCAGUCUUAAUAUAUCAUAUUAAAUCUUUGUGUAAAAA